Molecule: ribosomal RNA, 274 nt
Filed under: uncultured bacterium
Lineage: Bacteria
Description: partial 16S ribosomal RNA
Rfam family: Bacterial small subunit ribosomal RNA
Source: RNAcentral
AUACGGGGGGUGCAAGCGUUAAUCGGAAUUACUGGGCGUAAAGCGCGCGUAGGCGGUUUGCUCAGUCGGAUGUGAAAGCCCAGGGCUCAACCUUGGAACUGCAUACGAUACUGGCAAACUAGAGUGUGAGAGAGGAUAGUGGAAUUUCCGGUGUAGCGGUGAAAUGCGUAGAUAUCGGAAGGAACAUCAGUGGCGAAGGCGACUGUCUGGCUCGAUACUGACGCUGAGGUGCGAAAGCGUGGGGAGCAAACAGGAUUAGAUACCCAAGUAGUCC